This is a non-coding RNA of Smithella sp. SCADC, 118 nucleotides long. Lineage: Bacteria; Pseudomonadati; Thermodesulfobacteriota; Syntrophia; Syntrophales; Smithellaceae. The record is from Rfam.
GGAGGCAGGCCCUCCGAAAUCGGCAUUCAGGUGCUGGUUUCAAACCACCUCUGGGUGCUGUGGUCCAAAGCCAUGGUGCUGAGCGCAGAGGAAAAAGGGCCGGAAGAACCGGUCAGGU